Molecule: ribosomal RNA, 582 nt
Filed under: uncultured bacterium
Lineage: Bacteria
Description: bacterial SSU rRNA
Rfam family: Bacterial small subunit ribosomal RNA
Source: RNAcentral
AGAGUUUGAUCAUGGCUCAGAUUGAACGCUGGCGGAAUGCUUUACACAUGCAAGUCGAACGAUGAAGCCUAGCUUGCUAGGUGAAUUAGUGGCGGACGGGUGAGUAAUAUAUCGGAACGUGUCCAUUAAUGGGGGAUAACUAAUCGAAAGGUUAGCUAAUACCGCAUACGCCCUGAGGGGGAAAGCUGGGGAUCUUCGGACCUAGCGUUAAUGGAGCGGCCGAUACCUGAUUAGCUAGUUGGUGGGGUAAAAGCCUACCAAGGCAACGAUCAGUAGCUGGUCUGAGAGGACGACCAGCCACACUGGGACUGAGACACGGCCCAGACUCCUACGGGAGGCAGCAGUGGGGAAUUUUGGACAAUGGGGGCAACCCUGAUCCAGCCAUUCCGCGUGAGUGAAGAAGGCCUUCGGGUUGUAAAGCUCUUUCGCAAGGGAAGAAACGAUAUAGGUUAAUAGCUUAUGUUAAUGACGGUACCUUGACAAGAAGCACCGGCUAACUACGUGCCAGCAGCCGCGGUAAUACGUAGGGUGCAAGCGUUAAUCGGAAUUACUGGGCGUAAAGCGUGCGCAGGCUGUUUUGUA